CUGGCUCAGGAUGAACGCUAGCGGCAGGCUUAACACAUGCAAGUCGAGGGGCAUCGGGAGUAGCAAUACUUGCCGGCGACCGGCGCAAGGGUGCGUAACGCGUGAGCAACAUGCCCGUAUCAGGGGGAUAAUCCAUGGAAACGUGGUCUAAUACCCCAUAGUAAUUAUGUAAGGCAUCUUAUAUAAUUUAAAGCUUUGGUGGAUACGGAUUGGCUCGCGUGACAUUAGCUGGAUGGUAAGGUAACGGCUUACCAUGGCUACGAUGUCUAGGGGUUCUGAGAGGAAGGUCCCCCCACACUGGAACUGAGACACGGUCCAGACUCCUACGGGAGGCAGCAGUGAGGAAUAUUGGACAAUGGAUGGAAAUCUGAUCCAGCCAUGCCGCGUGCAGGAAAGACGGCCCUAUGGGUUGUAAACUGCUUUUGUAUGGGAGCAAUAAGGGCUACGUGUAGUCCGAUGAGAGUACCAUACGAAUAAGCACCGGCUAACUCCGUGCCAGCAGCUGC
RNAcentral lists this ribosomal RNA (506 nucleotides) under uncultured bacterium. Its description in RNAcentral is "bacterial SSU rRNA". It matches the Rfam family "Bacterial small subunit ribosomal RNA", at positions 19 to 518 of the family's 1533-position model. The record is from RNAcentral.